CAGUCGCCGCGGGAAUACGUAGGGUGCGAGCGUUGUCCGGAAUUAUUGGGCGUAAAGAGCUUGUAGGCGGUCUGUCGCGUCUGCUGUGAAAACCCGAGGCUCAACCUCGGGCCUGCAGUGGGUACGGGCAGACUAGAGUGCGGUAGGGGAGAACGGAACUCCUGGUGUAGCGGUGGAAUGCGCAGAUAUCAGGAAGAACACCGAUGGCGAAGGCAGUUCUCUGGGCCGUAACUGACGCUGAGAAGCGAAAGCGUGGGGAGCGAACAGGAUUAGAUACCCCCGUAGUCCCUGUCUCUUAUAC
RNAcentral lists this ribosomal RNA (301 nucleotides) under uncultured bacterium. RNAcentral describes it as "partial 16S ribosomal RNA". It matches the Rfam family "Bacterial small subunit ribosomal RNA", at positions 509 to 807 of the family's 1533-position model. The record is from RNAcentral.